This 268-nucleotide ribosomal RNA is filed under the name uncultured bacterium. Its description in RNAcentral is "partial 16S ribosomal RNA". It matches the Rfam family "Bacterial small subunit ribosomal RNA", at positions 87 to 353 of the family's 1533-position model. The record is from RNAcentral.
GGUGGCGACCGGCGCACGGGUGCGUAACGCGUAUGUAACCUACCUAUAACAGGGGCAUAACACUGAGAAAUUGGUACUAAUUCCCCAUAAUAUUCGGAGAGGCAUCUCUCCGGGUUGAAAACUCCGGUGGUUAUAGAUGGACAUGCGUUGUAUUAGCUAGUUGGUGAGGUAACGGCUCACCAAGGCAACGAUACAUAGGGGGACUGAGAGGUUAACCCCCCCACACUGGUACUGAGACACGGACCAGACUCCUACGGGAGGCAGCAUG